This is a long non-coding RNA of Lepidothrix coronata (blue-crowned manakin), 2154 nucleotides long. RefSeq lists it as uncharacterized. The transcript is spliced from 5 exons. The record is from RefSeq and is a predicted model, not a curated record. Lineage: Eukaryota; Metazoa; Chordata; Aves; Passeriformes; Pipridae.
UUCCCGGCUCCUCAGACUUCACCCAUCGACACAGGGUGUCAAAGAUAGUUGUUAAUAACAAGCUUUGGCCAGUUCUCUAAACAUCUUACAGAACAAUCAUCAGAACCAGACAAUCUGAAAAAAACAUUCUACUCUCUGACCCGACCCAUCUUUCUUCCUCUUCAAGCUCUUCUGGCUGAUGCUGAUUGUGUUGACCAGCUGACCAACCUUCAUAACAAAGAGGAGGCCUGCACAGAUGGUUAUGUAGUGACCCUGCUUUCCAGUUGUUCUUGUACCCCCAGAGGCUUCAAUAAUUCUGGCCUAAAUAAUUCAAUAAUUCUGAGGCUUUUUAGUAGUAAGACAUCUUAGGUGAAUAUGGCAGAGGACAUGACAUCUAUAUUUGGGUUGACUGGGGAAUCUUACACAUUAGAAGCUGUACAGAGGAGAGGAGAGAGAUAAAUAAAAUAUCCAGGGACACCUUGCCCUACCUCUUCGCCUCCCCUAAAAAAAUCACAAGGUUGAAUCUUCAGGCUCCCAGUUAACUGAGGGCUGAUCAGGAUUCACCACCUCCUCACUGCUCUCCUGAGGGUCUCAGCAAUUGCCACAGCCUAAUACUAAAGGGGGAGCAGGAGGAGGAACAGGACAGAGACAGAUGAGACCAAAGAAAAGCCCAACCCACAACACACAUGUUGCUCUACCCCAACAUGCUGCUUGCAGCUCAAACUGGUUUCCAGAAGUUGCUGCCAAACUAGUUUUUGAGCUAUCAGAAACUUUAGUGCCUUGAAAAUACUGGAUGUGCCGUGACCAUUUCCCCUCUGUUUACUUCUCCCAUUUACUGUCCAAGAUUUCAUUAUUCCCCAGAACACAAAGCAGAGACCCAAGAUCUGCUCCUCCCUCCACCCCCGAAGCAGCUCAAUACCUGAUCAAUACACACACACACUUCAGCACCAGGAGACAAGGACACCAUAUUUCUCUAAAGGCAUCAGUUAUUCCUCGAGCCAUUCACUCUCAGUCACAGGCAGCAGAGCUAUGGAAGUUGUUUCCUACCUGCUGGACAAACAUGCACCGAACAUUCUGAUCAAACACUGUGACUGCAGCUGCUGCUGGUGCACUGGGGUGGGGCAACUACUCCUACUCUUGGGGCAACCACCUACAUUCAUCUGAGGAAAGCUCUGAAAACACAAUGCAAUUGGGAACACAGAGCUGUGAAAUUCCUGCAUAAUCACUGGAACAGAUCACAUAAUACAGAGCUGUUCCAGUUCAAGCCAUCGAGAGACUAGGAAAGGAAAAUAAGAGAAAGAAAGGGCAAACCCUGAAAAGGUUCGACCAUCAGCAAGAUUUUGCCUCCCCUUCUAAACUUUUUAUUCUAAUCCAUUUCAGCAAAGCUUUACGUUAUUCUCCAUUCUGUCAACACCUUUAGCAACAGAAAAGAGCUUUGGCCUGGGGGAGGCACAUUCAUAUUAAAACCAAGGCAUUACCCCUCAUGUCAGGGGUAAUGGACUGGACUUUUCUUUCCUGCUAGAAAGCCUCCUGCAGAGGUUCAGGCUGCUCAGAGGAUGGGCACUGGCAUUACUUAUGUGCAGACAGGUUGGUGAAAACAGGUGGGACAGACCCAUCUCCAGCAGUGGCCAAAAGAGAGGGCCCAAGUGAUGCAGACACUUGGAAUUUCACCAGCCCCUGCCCUUAGGCACCCACCUUCUCAAUGGAGGACAGCUCAGCAAGGAAAAGAAGAUAGAAGAAAAUAAGACACAUGGUUGAGGGGAAAGAAUCUGAGCAAUUCAAUUUUGCAAGCAGUCUGCAUAUGGAAACUUGAAUAUCCAAUUAAGUUUGGCAAUGGCAUGGGGGUUUUACACAUAGCUGGAAUUAAUUCUUGUGCAUCUUCCUACAGAAUAUGAAGCAGCAGUGUAACUAAUUCAUGUCAGAUGGGAUACUAAAGCAUUCCCUAAACAAGAGAUUCUGGUAUAAAGCCAACAUAUAACAAAAAUAAAAUUACUGCACAAGUUCAGUAGCAGCUAUAAGUGCUUAGAUGGCACUUACGUCCAUGAAUGAUUUUUUGCUGCUCUUCUUAAUUUAAAAGGACACGAAACUCAUCCAAAACAGUAACUGGUGGUGUUCUCUAAAACCAGUUGAACUUACCAUGUUAAAAAAACGCAUCUAUUUUAAAAGAUAAGACUU